Molecule: ribosomal RNA, 236 nt
Filed under: uncultured Staphylococcus sp.
Lineage: Bacteria; Bacillati; Bacillota; Bacilli; Caryophanales; Staphylococcaceae
Description: partial 16S ribosomal RNA
Rfam family: Bacterial small subunit ribosomal RNA
Source: RNAcentral
GGGUGAGUAACACGUGGAUAACCUACCUAUAAGACUGGGAUAACUUUGGGAAACCGGAGCUAAUACCGGAUAAUAUUUUGAACCGCAUGGUUCAAAAGUGAAAGACGGUCUUGCUGUCACUUAUAGAUGGAUCCGCGCUGCAUUAGCUAGUUGGUAAGGUAACGGCUUACCAAGGCAACGAUGCAUAGCCGACCUGAGAGGGUGAUCGGCCACACUGGAACUGAGACACGGUCCAG